ACUCAAAGGAAUUGACGGGGGCCCGCACAAGCGGUGGAGCAUGUGGUUCAAUUCGAUGCAACGCGAAGAACCUUACCUGGUCUUGACAUGUAUUGGAAGACUACCAGAGAUGGUGUCGCCUUCGGGCCGAUACACAGGUGCUGCAUGGCUGUCGUCAGCUCGUGUCGUGAGAUGUUGGGUUAAGUCCCGCAACGAGCGCAACCCUUGCCUUUAGUUGCCAGCAUUAAGUUGGGCACUCUAGAGGGACUGCCGACGUUAAGUCGGAGGAAGGUGGGGAUGACGUCAAGUCCUCAUGGCCUUUAUGACCAGGGCCACACACGUGCUACAAUGGUCGGUACAGUGGGCAGCCAAGUGGCAACACGGAGCAAAUCCCAUAAAACCGAUCUAAGUUCGGAUAGGAGUCUGCAACUCGACUCCUUGAAGCUGGAAUCGCUAGUAAUCGUGGAUCAGCACGCCACGGUGAAUACGUUCCCGGGCCUUGUACACACCGCCCGU
This 495-nucleotide ribosomal RNA is filed under the name uncultured bacterium. RNAcentral describes it as "partial 16S ribosomal RNA". It matches the Rfam family "Bacterial small subunit ribosomal RNA", at positions 899 to 1397 of the family's 1533-position model. The record is from RNAcentral.